GAGGGUAUAGCUCAAGUGUUACGGUGCGUGCUUGGCAUGCAUGAGGUCCUGGGUUCAAUCCCCAGUACGUCCU
Molecule: transfer RNA, 73 nt
Filed under: Camelus bactrianus (Bactrian camel)
Lineage: Eukaryota; Metazoa; Chordata; Mammalia; Artiodactyla; Camelidae
Also listed under: 2 other names
Rfam family: tRNA
About the family: Transfer RNA (tRNA) molecules are approximately 80 nucleotides in length.
Source: Rfam by way of RNAcentral